GCAGAUCAACAGUGGAUCACAUAUCGAUUGUGGGAGAGAGUAUGAGCGUGCAGCGUUUAAAGCGUGGAAGUACUGACCUUACUUUGAGUUUGAUUCCAUAAAAAGUGACAAAAACAUUAGCGUCCAUCGUGCGUGGGAAGAAAACUUCUUUUUACAGCGAAAAAACCCCUAAACUUCCAACAAGCACCGAGUAGCUACGACGUAAUGGGAAACUCACAGAGAAACUUACGGAUCCUUCCACUGACCGCUGCACACCUGCACCAGGGUAAACCUCCGCCUACCCCACUCCUGCUUUACAGCGUGAACCCUGCCGCUCUGAUCAGCUGAGGGAUUUGAGGGUUUUUCAGUCCACGGGCUGACGCGCAGCACACCUGAACCAUCUCACCUGUUUGCAGAUCAUGACCUUCAGUCCGGAGCCGUCAUGGGCCUCCUGCUGCCGGGAAACCAGAUCCCGAGCAUUUAGUGAGACAGGAUCAGCUCGUGCGGUGCGAACGGGCCAACUAAACGGUCUAUUUCUGCUUAAUCCUGACUUCCUGUUUGGCUCCACCACCGUUGUAAGCGAUGCUGCUGGAAAAAUCUGCUGCUGCUGGACGAGCGGGGAGCAGGACGGAUCGGAUCCCCCGCACACCUGCAGGAUUUGGCUCUGAUGUGGAAACAGGGAUCAGGAAUAUUUAUACACGCUUACAUAACCAGCCUCACCAUUCAACAUCCAGAUCAGUGUUUCUGUACCACUAUCGCACACACACGCCUCCCCCAUCACCUCCCCCUCUGCAGAGGAGAUACCAGUGCUCUUAGAAACUCCCCUGGUUGCCUAGCAACUGGUCCUGAGGAUUGCCAAAGAGACAGAGAUCAUUCGUCUGUUAUGAGUGGGUAAUAUGAUAUUGUGUAAGUGGGGGUGUAAGCUUUCAUGUCCAUGUUUGUGAGGACCGACUGAAGUUUUUUUGGAACCAGAGCGCGUUUGAGGGCUCAGCUGUGAUGAGUCGGGACGCCGUCCACGUCUGCCCUCGACCGUCACUCGUGCACCACAUGUUCUGCAUGUAUGUACGCAAAUCAGACAUUUCAUGGAGUUUCUGUAAAGUUGGGACACAUUUUGUGUAUUGGGGACAAACGUUUAUCAAAUAUUGAACCAUUAAAGAAAAUAUUCAUGAUAUAAACUGAAACAUAACCAAUAAAGUAAAUUUCCUUUGUUGAAA
Molecule: long non-coding RNA, 1193 nt
Organism: Astatotilapia calliptera (eastern happy)
Lineage: Eukaryota; Metazoa; Chordata; Actinopteri; Cichliformes; Cichlidae
Source: Ensembl